Molecule: transfer RNA, 70 nt
Filed under: Tephritis femoralis
Lineage: Eukaryota; Metazoa; Arthropoda; Insecta; Diptera; Tephritidae
Description: tRNA-Tyr
Source: RNAcentral
GAUUAAAUGGCUGAAUUUAGGCGAUAAAUUGUAAAUUUAUUUAUAAGAAAUUAAAUGUUCUUUUUAAUCA